GACGAACGCUGGCGGCGUGCCUAAUACAUGCAAGUAGAACGCACAGUUUAUACCGUAGCUUGCUACACCAUAGACUGUGAGGUGCGAACGGGUGAGUAACGCGUAGGUAACCUGCCUGGUAGCGGGGGAUAACUAUGGGAAACGAUAGCUAAUACCGCAUAAUAUUAAUUAUUGCAUGAUAAUUGAUGGAAAUGUGCAAUUGCACCACUACCAGAUGGACCUGCGUUGUAUUAGCUAGUAGGUGAGGUAACGGCUCACCUAGGCGACGAUACAUAGCCGAACUGAGAGGGUGGUCGGCCCAACUGGGAAUGAGACCAGGCCCAGACUCCCACGGGAAGCAGCAGUAGGGGAACCUCGGCAAUGGAGGAAAGUCUGAACGAGCAAAGCCGCGUGAGUGAAGAAGGUUUUCGGAUCGUAAAGCUCUGUUUUAAGAGAAGAAAGGGUGUGAGAGUGGAAAGUUCACACUGUGACGGUAUCUUAUCAGAAAGCGACGGCUAACUACGUG
This 505-nucleotide ribosomal RNA is filed under the name uncultured bacterium. RNAcentral describes it as "partial 16S ribosomal RNA". It matches the Rfam family "Bacterial small subunit ribosomal RNA", at positions 28 to 507 of the family's 1533-position model. The record is from RNAcentral.